Molecule: ribosomal RNA, 468 nt
Filed under: uncultured bacterium
Lineage: Bacteria
Description: partial 16S ribosomal RNA
Rfam family: Bacterial small subunit ribosomal RNA
Source: RNAcentral
GACGAACGCUGGCGGCGUGCUUAGCACAUGCAAGUCGAACGGAAAGGCCCUGCUUUUGUGGGGUGCUCGAGUGGCGAACGGGUGAGUAACACGUGAGUAACCUGCCCUUGACUUUGGGAUAACUUCAGGAAACUGGGGCUAAUACCGGAUAGGAGCUCCUGCUGCAUGGUGGGGGUUGGAAAGUUUCGGCGGUUGGGGAUGGACUCGCGGCUUAUCAGCUUGUUGGUGGGGUAGUGGCUUACCAAGGCUUUGACGGGUAGCCGGCCUGAGAGGGUGACCGGCCACAUUGGGACUGAGAUACGGCGCAGACUCCUACGGGAGGCAGCAGUGGGGAAUAUUGCACAAUGGGCGGAAGCCUGAUGCAGCAACGCCGCGUGCGGGAUGACGGCCUUCGGGUUGUAAACCGCUUUCGCCUGUGACGAAGCGUGAGUGACGGUAAUGGGUAAAGAAGCACCGGCUAACUACGUG